GACAGAGGGUGCAAACGUUGUUCGGAAUUACUGGGCGUAAAGCGCGUGUAGGCGGCUCUGCAAGUCAGGUGUGAAAUCCCACGGCUCAACCAUGGAAGUGCACUUGAAACUGCAGGGCUAGAGUCCUGGAGAGGAAGGUGGAAUGCUUGGUGUAGAGGUGAAAUUCGUAGAUAUCGAGAGGAACACCGGUGGCGAAGGCGGCGAUCUGGACGAUGACUGACGCUGAGACGCGAAAGCGUGGGGAGCAAACAGG
Molecule: ribosomal RNA, 253 nt
Filed under: uncultured bacterium
Lineage: Bacteria
Description: partial 16S ribosomal RNA
Rfam family: Bacterial small subunit ribosomal RNA
Source: RNAcentral